Fukomys damarensis (Damara mole-rat) is the source of this 1713-nucleotide long non-coding RNA. RefSeq lists it as uncharacterized. NCBI's taxonomy places the organism in Eukaryota, Metazoa, Chordata, Mammalia, Rodentia, Bathyergidae. The transcript has 4 exons. The record is from RefSeq and is a predicted model, not a curated record.
AUUCUGCUGCUGGCACCGAGGGAUAUGCAAAUGAGCACACGAAUCAGUUGUCACCACCACAGACACCGUGCAGGGAGAUGAUCAGAAUGCGUGGGGAGCAGAGUUGGCUGCAAGUGAGGGGAGAAAUGCGGGGGGGCUUCGAUUUCUUAAAUUCAGGAAAGUGCAAUCUGUUCCUCACCGAUCACUGACAGUAACCUGAAAGUCUGGGAAUGACAGAAACUUUUCAGUUAUUUGUAGAAGGACCUGAUACCACAGGGUUCGUCUCUAUACAUGAACACAGCCCUAGUCUGAAGAGACUGAAAAAAGAGAGACAACGGGUGUUGAAAGAGGAGUGAAGCUGCUAUUCCCAUCAGUAUAGACGUCCAGCAAGUCAGGGACAAGGUGUUUAUGAACAGAAACCCAAAUUAGGGCAGUGACCGCUCAUCUCUGACACGGGAGCGCCUCAAAAGUCAAAAGAAAAGGUAACAUUUUAAAGCAUCUUUUAUUAUCUGCCUGUCUCAUUACUUCAUCGCCUGCUUUUUUUUUUAAGUAGAAAAUGAUGAAAAUAUGAAACACUUUACUCAGGGUGUUAUUAUUCUUAUUUUAAAGAUUACUUAAACUAGCCCCUUCCGGUUCAGAUCUGGGGUGUCCCCCACAAAGCCCCGUGUGUUCUGGAUCGCGGGGGGCUGUAAUCACGGGUGGAUCGAUCCAUCAAUGAGUUUACAGAGGUGCGGUCUGAUGGGAAGAGGCGGCCCUUGGAGACCUGGCACGAGUAGCUUUCUUCCCCAGCGAACUCUUCAGCACUCGCUUUCUGUCUAAACCAUCCAACCGUACACCGAAGCCCCUAAAACACGUCAGCCAAUAUAACCCUCUCUUGUAAGUUGAAGGUGUCGGGUAUUCUGACCCAGCAAAGAGAAAAGUGACUGAGACAGAACCCAAAACACAGAUGGAGAAAGUAACAGCACCAAUUGCUAUCUCGCAGUCAGUAUUUUUCAGCUCCCCAUUUUACAGAUGGGAAAACAAAGCCCCCGAGCAGGUAAAUGAAGAGAGCAGGGAGAAGGAAUGGCCAUUUAAUCAGACGGCUCUAUGUUGUCAAUCUAGUCUCUGCCCUUUACAAGCAGUGUGAGCUCUGACAAAAACAAUUAACCUUUCUAAACCUCCAUAGAUUUGAAACAGUAUAUUUUUAAUUGGCUUGUUUAGUGUUUCCUAAAAUAUAUCCCUUUGGAACACUUGUUCUAUAGAUGUUUAAAAGUGUUAAAUAAAAAAAAAAUGUUUCAUUGGUCCAGCAAGUCUUGGGAAACAUGGUUUAAAAGUGAAGCAAGCUCUGAUAUUUCAAACUCCUCAGAGCCUCUAAAAUGCUAAUUGCAUCACAUUCUCCAAGGGACUGGAGAGCAGGAAGUAAGAAAUGUUUCAUGGAAAAUAACUUGGAAAGUCUAGUUCGUUGCAUCUAGAAGUUUCUCUUAGUCACUUAUUUAUUUAUUAUUUUUUGUCGUUGCAGUAGUUUGGACCUGAAACACUACCCAAGGAUUCGUGUGUUAAGCGCUUAUUGACCAGGGUAGCAUUAUUGGAAUUUCCUGGGGAUUUGAAGAGCUGGAGCUCAUUGCUGCUGGGCAUUGAGGGUAUGCCAUGCUUUACCCUCUCGUUCCGCUUCUCCCCUCUCCUCCCCUUUCCUCUCUCCUUCCCUCAACCCCUCUGCUUCCCUCCCACCCUUUUGUCUACUGUGAUUCACCUCUA